This 234-nucleotide long non-coding RNA is filed under the name Homo sapiens (human). RNAcentral's name for it is "LNC_000489". Lineage: Eukaryota; Metazoa; Chordata; Mammalia; Primates; Hominidae. The record is from RNAcentral.
GGAGAAUAGCCCGUGAAUAUCUUCCACAGCUUUGAAUGCUUCCUGCCACAAUUCCAUGCUGAUAGCACUGUCCAGCUGAACAAGUCUGGUUUCCAAAUGCAUGGACUGGCUCUCUGGAUUAUUAAGAUUGAUUGCCGUACUUUGGUUAUGGUGGCGCUGAAUCUGCGAUAAGUGCAUUCUCAAAUUGUCACACAGUUUACGGAAUUCAGCCUUACGCGUGUAUUGGAGGCAGAA